UACGGGGGGGGCAAGCGUUGUUCGGAAUUACUGGGCGUAAAGCGCGUGUAGGCGGUUGUCCAAGUUGGAUGUGAAAGCCUUGAGCUUAACUCAAGAAAUGCAUUCAGGACUGGAUGACUAGAGGACCGGAGAGGAUAGUGGAAUUCCCAGUGUAGUGGUGAAAUACGUAGAGAUUGGGAAGAAAACCAGUGGCGAAGGCGGCUAUCUGGACGGUUUCUGACGCUAAGACACGAAAGCGUGGGUAGCAAACAGG
RNAcentral lists this ribosomal RNA (253 nucleotides) under uncultured bacterium. RNAcentral's name for it is "partial 16S ribosomal RNA". It matches the Rfam family "Bacterial small subunit ribosomal RNA", at positions 524 to 776 of the family's 1533-position model. The record is from RNAcentral.